Molecule: long non-coding RNA, 816 nt
Organism: Oncorhynchus tshawytscha (Chinook salmon)
Lineage: Eukaryota; Metazoa; Chordata; Actinopteri; Salmoniformes; Salmonidae
Exons: 3
Source: RefSeq, a predicted model, not a curated record
UGAAGAGACCGCCAUGGACAAGUCCCUUGUCAGAUACCAGAAACAGUGAGAGAACAACCUGAAGGUAAUUCUCUUUACAGCAGCAUCCAGGCCUCCACCGAGUAUGGACAGGAGUCACAGCUGUUGACUGAGAUCUCUGAUGGAAGUUGUCGAACCAGAUCCGAACGCUUCGAGGACCACCUUCUGUCCCGGACUGAGAAGGAAGUGGAGGUUUUUGACCAGGUGAGACUGAACAUCAACAAGGCGCAGGAGAAACUGAAGGAGAGCUACAGGAGCAGAAUCAAGGAGACCAAGUACUACGACAUCCGGGUGUAUUACUUGGUUUGGAACAAGGACAAAAGGAAGGCGAGAGCUGGGAAACCUCGCUGCUCUUUCACUCCUAGCUGGGGUCACCAUCAGAUAAGAUGAAUAUAAAACAUCUCAGAUAAUAACUAUUUGCAUUUGCACAAGAAAAUAACCUGAAGCUAGUUUUAGUUUCCAUAACAUUGAUAUUUUAAUCUGUCUUCCUAGGGUUACCUUGGUGGAAGCCAACAAUAUUCUCCAGUUGGACGGUCGACCACUGAAUGCCCUGACGUCCUACACUUCGGUGAAGCCCAAAAGACAAAGCCCAGCACUGCAAACACUCAGAACAAAGGGAGCAGCUGUGCCUGGACUUUGCAGUCUCCCUCUUCAAGUCCCCUUUCUGAGACUGUUGAGAACAAGUGACAAGCAGAACUUCUCACCCACACAUCAAACACCUCUAUAUUCCACACACCAGAAUUCAGUACUUGAGUCUAUGAUUGCCAUGUGAAUGUACAAAAAAUCUGUGAAAAUAAA